This 253-nucleotide ribosomal RNA is filed under the name uncultured bacterium. RNAcentral describes it as "partial 16S ribosomal RNA". It matches the Rfam family "Bacterial small subunit ribosomal RNA", at positions 524 to 776 of the family's 1533-position model. The record is from RNAcentral.
UACGGAGGGUGCAAGCGUUGUUCGGAAUCACUGGGCGUAAAGGGCGCGCAGGCGGUUUGGUAAGUCAGAUGUGAAAGCCCACGGCUUAACCGUGGAAGUGCAUUUGAAACUGCCGGACUUGAGUACCAGAGGGGAAAGUGGAAUUCCCGGUGUAGAGGUGAAAUUCGUAGAUAUCGGGAGGAAUACCGGUGGCGAAGGCGACUUUCUGGCUGGAUACUGACGCUGAGGCGCGAAAGCGUGGGGAGCAAACAGG